GUGCUGAUUUCUCUCCAAUAAAGAAGUGCUACAUUUUAAGACACACCAAAAUAUUUUUGAAGAAAACAAGACUAAUAGAAAUAAUUUAAGGAAAAAGAAAGAAGAAAGAAGAAAGAACAUAGAUCCAGGGGAUAUAGACUAUACAAUAGUCUAAAACCCUAUAAAAGAAGAAAGAAGAAGAAGAAGAAGAAAACAGACAUACCCUAUUAAAGAAGAAGAAGAAGAAGAAGAAGAGAACAGACAUCUAUCCCGGUAAUCGUAAACUGAAGUGAAGUGUUUAGUGAACGCAUGGACGAUAGAAUCACCCCAGGUCCAGGAGAGAGUCGGGAAUGGAUAACAACAUGGAACCAACACACAAGUAUGAAGUAGCAUAAAAUUCUUGUCUCCUGCUGGAUAUUGUAGAACUUGACUACUGGUCAUGCAUUAGUAAUAAACUGAAGCCCUGCUGAUUCGCCACAAGGAUGGAGCCAGCUCUCUUACAUCCCAACAUGUCUGCAGAUCUUAUCCCUGACAGAGAACUGAACAACACUUCAUCCUCUGUCAUGGUACCUGAGGAUGGGUAUUUGCCACCAGUACCUCUGACAGACAUGAAGAGAAUGCAAAUUCUAGAAAAAAUGAGUGAGAAUUGUGAGUCUUUUCUGCCUCAUCAAGAUGGAUAUUUAAGAGUCCUUGACACUUAUGAGAAGGUCCUUGAAUUUAUCUUAGCAGAAGAAAAGGCUACAGGAAUGCAUUUCAUAGGUCACAGGAAGGAAGGGAUUUUUGACAGACUAGGGAAAGAUUUGAAGGCUUUUAUAGGAGAAGGACGGAAGCAUAUAAGAUACUGUGUCACUGGUGGAACAAAAGGAAGAGGUCAUGAUCCAAUUGCUGUGGAAUAUACUGGUGUCCCAUUUAUUGAAGCAGGAACAUAUGUUAUGGAGUGUCAUAUGGGCAAUGACAGUGGAUUGUGGAUCAAAAAGCGAUAUGCAAAAAGAAGGGAUAUGUUAGAAAAAGAAAAUAGUCAAUGUGUUGUGAAGAGACGAUCCAGGACACUAGAAUCAAAGAAGACAGGCUGUCCAGCUAAGGUUCACAUAAAAAGGAUUCUAAGACUGCCAGAAUUUAAGAUUAAGAAAAACAAUGUAGCAGCAAAGGAAAAGAAUCGCUCAAAGAUCGUGAAAGCCCUGAAAAGUGAGUUGGAAGAAGUUCACUUUGAGCAGGAGUACUACGUUCUCAUGCCAGGUUUGGAGUGCCACCAGUACCACGCUGCUGAUGUAGUUGCUGGAGUGAUGGUAAGCAAAACAAAGGAUGGAGAAUUACAUUUGAACCAAAUUAGAAACUAUCUUGAAAACAGGACAUACUUAUCUUCAGUUGCCCCUAAUGAGAAGAAAAGCAUCAGAACUGCUGCCAAGACUUUCAGUGUUGAAGAAUCGGUUAUGUACUAUAUUGGUGAAGAUGGCAGUGAAAAACGAAUUGUAUUGUACACGCCUGUAGAGAAACAGAAAGCCUUUGAUGAAUUUCAUGUAUUACACAAGUCUGGAGAGCACUUAGACUGUACACAAACACUGCUGAUGCUAAAACAGAAAUAUUACUGGAUGAGUAUCUCUGAGGAUGUUGUUACAAUGAUGCAGAGAUGUCAUGUGUGUGAACUUAAGAAGACCAGUACUACUGAUCAUAGACAUAUUCCCAUAAAGAAAUACAAGAAAGCCAACCACAACAGGGAGUCAACCAGGGGAAAGCACAGAAAACAUGCCUUAGCAAGAAGAAGUGCUGUGCAAGAACAAUAUAGAAUGAGGGUCAAGGUUGAGAUACCCAGCACAGAGGAAGACAGUAAGAAUUGUUUUCAGCAUGACCUGCUUCCAGUGCAAAAACAGCCUUUUUAUGAAUCAGAAGACAAGAAACACCUUAAUCUUAGAGUUAAGCAGCAUGGUUCUUUGCAAACUUUAUGUACAUUCCAAGAGGCUCUUCACUACAUUAGAGAAGAAGAGAAAGCCACUGGCAUGCAUUAUAUUGGUCAUCGAAAGGAAGGAGUCUUCGAUAAAGAUGGUCAUGAGCUAAAGGCAUUUGUGAGAGAGGGAAGAAAACACAUCCGGUACUGCAUCACUUUAGGUACAAAGGGACGAGGAUAUGACCCUGUCCCUGUAGAGUACACAGGUGUUCCCUUCAUUGAGGCUGGUACAUAUGUCAUGGAGUGCCACCUAGGAAUGGAUACUGGAAUUUGGAACAAGAGGAGAUAUGCUGCUCGAAGGGAUAGGAUAGAGGAAGAAGAAAUUGCUGUUAUAAAAAGAAGAAAUAGAAUGUACGACACUAAGAAAAUGGGGUGUCCUGCUAAGGUACACAUUAAAAGAAUUCUGAGAUUGCCAGACUUUAAGAUUUGGCAUAACACACCAGCUGAGAGAGAAAAAAAUCGCAAGAGGAUCAUAAGUGCUGUGAGAGGAGACAUAGAGGCAGUUAAUUUUGAAACAGAGUAUUAUGUUCUUAUGCCAGACCUUGAAUGCCACAAGUUCCAUACUGUUGAUGUUGUGGCAGGUGUGUUGGUUACAAAGGGAGAAGGAGGUUGCCAACACCUCAGUCAUGUUCGACAUUACUUAGAGACUGGGACUCAUGCUCGUUCGGUGCCCCUCCAUCGAAAAAAAAGUAUAAGGAAAUCUGCAAAGGAGUUUACGAUGGAAGAUGGGUUAAUGUACUAUCGAGGAAAGACUGGUUAUGAAAGAAGAUUUGUUCCUGCCACGGAGGAAGAAAAGCUCAAGGCUUUUAAUGAAGCUCAUAUUCUAAAGUCGGGCCAACAUUUCAGAAAAGCAGAGACUGUCAGACGGCUUUUGGAAAAUUGUUACUGGACCGACCUGAGUGAAUACGCUCAAGAAAAUGUUGACAAAUGCCAAGUUUGUAGUCUCCACAAGCUCAGGGCAGCCGAUGUGAAAUCCAGUUCAUUAGCUCUACAGCCAAAUAAAGUUGAAGACGGGCUUUCUGACAGUGAACAUUGUACUCAUGAGGUGGCGGCGGAGGACCUUUGCGCUGCAGAAUCUGGGGGAGGCGAAGUCCACGAGAGCUUGUUCGAUGGAGAGACCACAGUCAGCACAAUAUAUGAGAUGAGUGAUGGCGGCAGUCUGGUUGUCAUGGUUGAUGACGCGCUGGAUAUGGAAGAGGUUGGACAAAGAGCGCACAGUAGACACAUCACUAUAAAUGUAUCCUGUGCAGAUUGAAAGCUCGGGAUAGCGUGAGAUAUUGCGCUUGGUGGAGGUUACCAUUUAAAGUCACUUCCCUGACCUGACUUUGGGCUUCGAACUGCAGCAGAUCCAGAGUAACAAUUAGAGUUGCGCUUCCAAGAUGAGACGUACGAACCUCCACUUUAUUUAUCCUUAGUGGACAUGUGUGAUACACUAGUUUGUGCAACACUGCAUAUCAUUCUGCAACCAAAAGUGAUUCACCGGACGCUGUGGAAGGAUUUCUGUGAAAGGAACAAAUAUGUGAGGAGAACUUGGAUCUUUUAUGGAAUAUCUGACUGCGUGCUGCGUGUACUACAAAAUAACCUCUGAGUCCGUUUUUCUUCGUGGUUUCCUUUGUCAGUUCUGCGGCGGCACAACUGAGAAGACUAUAUUAUUUGGCUUUGAUCUGGGAGGUUGGUGAUUUACAGUCUGUUGGAAAAUAGGAGUGUAACGUAUUGUCCAUAGGUUCGACCGAUAUGUUCUUUGUUCUGUUUCGAGAUAAAUCCUAAUGGGCGAGGGAAUUUCGUUGACAUCGACCAGUUAUGUAUCACACAAAGUUUCAAAAGUGAAGCAUAUGUAAUGACAAGAGAAGUCAAUGUAGGGGAAUAUACAAAGAAACUUCUACUACUUGGAAAAGCUGUCCGUGGACGUUACAGAACACGAGCACGUAUCCGGUGCCCCUUUCCUCACCCGGACAAUAACUUCAGUCAACGGACGCCAAGACAGGGAACGGUUGACCGUCGUUACCUUUCAGCGCAAAGAAUGAGGGGGAAGACGGGUUUACUCAAGCGAAAUCAAGGCAACCGGACCGAUUCCUUACCGAAUAUUCCCAGUGAAGUUCUUAAAUAGGAGGCGAAAGACCUUACAUUCUGAAGAUCAGGAUGUUCAACAAAAUUGACCUUGCGACCCAAGUGCCGUAAGAGCAAGACGCAGCAGAAUUUCCUUGCAUCAACAUCAUGAUCAUGAUCGUCGUCGUCGUCAUCAAAUUAUUAUUAUUAUAGUAAUAUUACUACUAUUACUGUGUGUAUAUAACUAUCCAUCUAUCCAUCGUGUAUUUUGCCUCUGUCAAACUGCCUCUCCGGCGGCGCAUUCUCAGUGUGUACUAUGUCUUAGUUGUCAAAGCGCGUUCCUUCUUCUUCACUCUAUCCCACAAGCGUGGAGUGAGGCUCGUGGAAGGCGGGGACAUUAAAGUGCGAUGAAGAGUGGGAAAUGGACCGCUGUACAAAGAUUGAUAUUUUUAUAAUAAAGCACUUUUCAUAGAAUGAA
This 4445-nucleotide unclassified non-coding RNA is filed under the name Penaeus chinensis. RNAcentral describes it as "uncharacterized LOC125043152, transcript variant X2". The record is from RNAcentral. Lineage: Eukaryota; Metazoa; Arthropoda; Malacostraca; Decapoda; Penaeidae.